AAAAUGACAAACCAUGAAUUUCCGUGUCUAACUUUGAUUGUCCGUCUUAUAUGAAAUUUUUUUAUAAUUCGUAUUUUCAUUAUUGUUAGAUGAUAAAACAUGAUUAAUAUUUUAUGCGUGACUUGUCUUUUUAAUUUUUUUCAUAAUUUUUUUAAAUAAGACGGACGGUCAAACGUUGGGCACGGAAACCAGGGUUUGUCUUUUU
Oryza sativa Japonica Group (Japanese rice) is the source of this 205-nucleotide microRNA precursor. It matches the Rfam family "MIR812 microRNA precursor family". The record is from Rfam. NCBI's taxonomy places the organism in Eukaryota, Viridiplantae, Streptophyta, Magnoliopsida, Poales, Poaceae.